CCUGAUCCAGCCAUGCCGCGUGAGUGAAGAAGGCCUUCGGGUUGUAAAGCUCUUUCGGCGGGGACGAAACGGUCCGUGCCAACACCACGGACUAAUGACGGUACUCGCAGAAGAAGCACCGGCUAACUACGUGCCAGCAGCCGCGGUAAUACGUAGGGUGCGGGCGUUAAUCGGAAUUACUGGGCGUAAAGCGUGCGCGGGCGGCUCCUUAAGUCAGAUGUGAAAUCCCCGGGCUUAACCUGGGAACUGCGUUUGAAACUGAGGGGCUUGAGUGUGGAAGAGGGGGGUGGAAUUCCAGGUGUAGCAGUGAAAUGCGUAGAGAUCUGGAGGAACACCGAUGGCGAAGGCAGCCCCCUGGGCUAACACUGACGCUCAUGCACGAAAGCGUGGGGAGCAAACAGGAUUAGAUACCCUGGUAGUCCACGCCCUAAACGAUGUCAACUGGUUGUCGGGGAAGCAAUUCCUUGGUAACGAAGCUAACGCGUGAAGUUGACCGCCUGGGGAGUACGGCCGCAAGGUUA
Molecule: ribosomal RNA, 521 nt
Filed under: uncultured Pseudomonadota bacterium
Lineage: Bacteria; Pseudomonadati; Pseudomonadota
Description: bacterial SSU rRNA
Rfam family: Bacterial small subunit ribosomal RNA
Source: RNAcentral